RNAcentral lists this ribosomal RNA (460 nucleotides) under uncultured bacterium. RNAcentral describes it as "partial 16S ribosomal RNA". It matches the Rfam family "Bacterial small subunit ribosomal RNA", at positions 338 to 795 of the family's 1533-position model. The record is from RNAcentral.
CCUACGGGUGGCAGCAGUGAGGAAUAUUGGUCAAUGGGCGUAAGCCUGAACCAGCCAAGUCGCGUGAGGGAUGACGGUUCUAUGGGUCGUAAACUUCUUUUAUAAGGGAAUAAAGUGUGGGACGUGUCCUGUUUUGUAUGUACCUUAUGAAUAAGGAUCGGCUAACUCCGUGCCAGCAGCCGCGGUAAUACGGAGGAUCCGAGCGUUAUCCGGAUUUAUUGGGUUUAAAGGGUGCGUAGGCGGGCUGUUAAGUCAGCGGUGAAAGUCUGCGGCUCAACCAUAGAAUUGCAGUUGAGACUGGGAGUCUUGAGUAUGUUUGAGGCAGGCGGAAUUCGUGGUGUAGCGGUGAAAUGCUUAGAUAUCACGAAGAACCCCGAUUGCGAAGGCAGCCUGCCAAGCUAUGACUGACGUUGAUGCACGAAAGCGUGGGUAUCAAACAGGAUUAGAUACCCGGGUAGUC